Molecule: ribosomal RNA, 497 nt
Filed under: uncultured bacterium
Lineage: Bacteria
Description: partial 16S ribosomal RNA
Rfam family: Bacterial small subunit ribosomal RNA
Source: RNAcentral
GAUGAACGCUGGCGGCGUGCCUAAUACAUGCAAGUCGAGCGAACAGACGAGGAGCUUGCUCCUCUGACGUUAGCGGCGGACGGGUGAGUAACACGUGGAUAACCUACCUAUAAGACUGGGAUAACUUCGGGAAACCGGAGCUAAUACCGGAUAAUAUAUUGAACCGCAUGGUUCAAUAGUGAAAGACGGUUUUGCUGUCACUUAUAGAUGGAUCCGCGCCGCAUUAGCUAGUUGGUAAGGUAACGGCUUACCAAGGCAACGAUGCGUAGCCGACCUGAGAGGGUGAUCGGCCACAGUGGAACUGAGACACGGUCCAGACUCCUACGGGAGGCAGCAGUAGGGAAUCUUCCGAAAUGGGCGGAAGCCUGACGGAGCAACGCCGCGUGAGUGAUGAAGGUCUUCGGAUCGUGAAACUCUGUUAUUAGGGGAGAACAAAUGUGUAAGUAACUAUGCACGUCUUGACGGUACCUAAUCAGAAAGCCACGGCUAACUACGUG